GAUCCUGCUGGAGAAUGCUGCUAGUGGAAUUCGUCUAAGCCAUGCAAGUCAGAGGUCCUAGUGGCCUCGGCGUACGGCUCACUAACGCGUGGGUAACCUACCCUAUGGUGGCGGAUAACCUCGGGAAACUGAGGGUAAUACGCCAUAGGAAAUAACUACUGGAACAGUGUUUUUUCUUAAAGCCUUUGGGCGCCGUAGGAUGGGCCUGCGUUGGAUUAGGCAGUUGGUGGGGUAACGGCCCACCAAACCUUUGAUCCAUACGGGCUCUGAGAGGAGUAGCCCGGAGAGGGGUACUGAGACAAGGACCCCAGCCCUACGGGGUGCAGCAGGCGCGAAAACUCUGCAAUGCGCGAAAGCGUGACAGGGGGAUUCCACGUGCAAGCUAUGCUUGCUUUUCUCAAGCUUAGGACGCUUGGGGAAUAAGGGCUGGGUAAGACUCGUGCCAGCCGCCGCGGUAAUACGGGCAGCUCAAGUAGUGUUCGCGUAUAUUGGGCCUGAAGCGUGCGUAGCCUGUUGACUAAGUUCUUGGUGAAAUCUUGCGAUUUAAUCGUGAGGCGUGCCAGGAAUACUGGUUGACUUGGGACCGGGAAGGGUCGGAGGUAUUCCUUGGGUAGGGAUAAAAUCCUAUAAUCCUUGGAGGACCAACGGUGGCGAAGGCGUCCGACUGGGACGGGUCCGACGGUGAGGCACGAAAGCUAGGGGAGCGACCUGGAUUAGAUACCCAGUUAGUCCUAGCUGUAAAUGAUGCGGGUUUGGUAUUGCGUAGCCUACGAGGCUCCGCAGUGCCGUAGGGAAGCCGUUAAACCUGCCGCCUGGGAAGUACGGUCGCAAGACUGAAACUUAAAGGAAUUGGCGGGGGAGUACUACAAGGGGUGGAGGCUGCGGUUUAAUUGGAUACAACGCCGGACAACUCACCAGGGAAGACAGCAUUAUGAUGGCCAGUCUAAAGGGCUUGCUUGAAGCGCUGAGAGGUGGUGCAUGGCCAUCGUCAGCUCGUGCAGUGAUGUGUCCUGUUAAGUCAGGCAACGAGCGAGACCCGUACUUCCAGUUGCUAACUUCGUUCUACGGGACGAGGUGCACUCUGGAGGGACUGCCGCUGAUAAAGCGGAGGAAGGAGCGGGCGACGAUAGGUCAGUAUGCCCCGAAUUUCCUGGGCUACACGCGGCCUACAAUGCGACGUACAAUAGGAUGCAACUCCGAAAGGAGAAGCUAAACCCGUAAAACGUCGCUUAGUUCGGAUCGAGGGUUGGGACUCACCCUCGUGAAGAUGGAAUCCCUAGUAAUCGUGUGUCACUAUCGCACGGUGAAUGCGUCCCUUCUCCUUGCACACACCGCCCGUCAAACCAUCCGAGUGGAGCCUGGACGAGGCUGGAUCCACCAAGGGUCUAGUCGAAUCUGAGCGCUGUGAGGAGGGUUAAGUCGUAACAAGGUA
This 1432-nucleotide ribosomal RNA is filed under the name metagenome. RNAcentral's name for it is "bacterial SSU rRNA". It matches the Rfam family "Archaeal small subunit ribosomal RNA". The record is from RNAcentral.